This 489-nucleotide ribosomal RNA is filed under the name uncultured bacterium. RNAcentral describes it as "partial 16S ribosomal RNA". It matches the Rfam family "Bacterial small subunit ribosomal RNA", at positions 28 to 523 of the family's 1533-position model. The record is from RNAcentral.
GACGAACGCUGGCGGCGUGCUUAACACAUGCAAGUGGUGCGACGAACCAGGCUUCGGCCUGGGGCGAAGCCGCGAACGGGUGAGUAACACGUGGGCAAUCUGCCCCUUUGAUCGGGACAACCCGGGGAAACCCGGGCUAAUACCGAAUGAGGUGGCGACUCAUGAGAGUCGUCACGAAAGGAAGCUUCGGCCUCCGCGAAGGGAUGAGCCCGCGGCCCAUUAGCUUGUUGGUGGGGUAAUGGCCUACCAAGGCAACGAUGGGUAGCUGGUCUGAGGGGGCGACCGGUCACACUGUGACGGAGACACGGCCCAGACUCCUACGGGAGGCAGCAGUGGGGAAUAUUGCGCAAUGGGCGAAAGCCUGACGCAGCGACGCCGCGUGAGGGAUGAAGGUCUUCGGAUCGUAAACCUCUUUCAGUAGGGACGAGGCGCAAGUGACGGUACCUACAGAAGAAGGACCGGCCAACUACGUGCCAGCAGCCGCGGUAA